RNAcentral lists this ribosomal RNA (467 nucleotides) under uncultured bacterium. RNAcentral's name for it is "partial 16S ribosomal RNA". It matches the Rfam family "Bacterial small subunit ribosomal RNA", at positions 29 to 507 of the family's 1533-position model. The record is from RNAcentral.
ACGCACGCUGGCGGCGUGCUUAACCCCUGCAAGUCGAACGGAAAGGCCCUGCUUUUGUGGGGUGCUCGAGUGGCGAACGGGGGAGUAACACGUGAGUAACCUGCCCUUGACUUUGGGAUAACUUCAGGAAACUGGGGCUAAUACCGGAUAGGAGCUCCUGCUGCAUGGUGGGGGUUGGAAAGUUUCGGCGGUUGGGGAUGGACUCGCGGCUUAUCAGCUUGUUGGUGGGGUAGUGGCUUACCAAGGCUUUGACGGGUAGCCGGCCUGAGAGGGUGACCGGCCACAUUGGGACUGAGAUACGGCCCAGACUCCUACGGGAGGCAGCAGUGGGGAAUAUUGCACAAUGGGCGGAAGCCUGAUGCAGCAACGCCGCGUGCGGGAUGACGGCCUUCGGGCUGUAAACCGCUUUCGCCUGUGACGAAGCGUGAGUGACGGUAAUGGGUAAAGAAGCACCGGCUAACUACGUG